CUUCAACGAGCCCAGCCACAGCGGCCGGUCCUCCGUGUGCUCCUGGCCAUACGUGGCCAGCAACGCCUGCGCCUC
Non-coding RNA from Streptomyces sparsogenes DSM 40356, 75 nucleotides. It matches the Rfam family "ASpks TB sRNA". The record is from Rfam. NCBI's taxonomy places the organism in Bacteria, Bacillati, Actinomycetota, Actinomycetes, Kitasatosporales, Streptomycetaceae.